GACGAACGCUGGCGGCGUGCUUAACACAUGCAAGUCGAACGGAAAGGCCCUGCUUUUGUGGGGUGCUCGAGUGGCGAACGGGUGAGUAACACGUGAGUAACCUGCCCUUGACUUUGGGAUAACUUCAGGAAACUGGGGCUAAUACCGGAUAGGAGCUCCUGCUGCAUGGUGGGGGUUGGAAAGUUUCGGCGGUUGGGGAUGGACUCGCGGCUUAUCAGCUUGUUGGUGGGGUAGUGGCUUACCAAGGCUUCGACGGGUAGCCGGCCUGAGAGGGUGACCGGCCACAUUGGGACUGAGAUACGGCCCAGACUCCUACGGGAGGCAGCAGUGGGGAAUAUUGCACAAUAGGCGGAAGCCUGAUGCAGCAACGCCGCGUGCGGGAUGACGGCCUUCGGGUUGUAAACCGCUUUCGCCUGUGACGAAGCGUGAGUGACGGUAAUGGGUAAAGAAGCACCGGCUAACUACGUG
RNAcentral lists this ribosomal RNA (468 nucleotides) under uncultured bacterium. Its description in RNAcentral is "partial 16S ribosomal RNA". It matches the Rfam family "Bacterial small subunit ribosomal RNA", at positions 28 to 507 of the family's 1533-position model. The record is from RNAcentral.